UGUCAUGCCAAUGGCACUGCCCGGUAGCUAAAUGCGGAAGAGAUAAGUGCUGAAAGCAUCUAAGCACGAAACUUGCCCCGAGAUGAGUUCUCCCUGACUCCUUGAGAGUCCUGAAGGAACGUUGAAGAUGACGACGUUGAUAGGCCGGGUGUGUAAGCGCAGCGAUGCGUUGAGCUAACCGGUACUAAUGAACCGUGAGGCUUAACCUUACAACGCCGAAGGUGUUU
RNAcentral lists this ribosomal RNA (227 nucleotides) under Escherichia coli. RNAcentral's name for it is "partial 23S ribosomal RNA". It matches the Rfam family "Bacterial large subunit ribosomal RNA", at positions 2722 to 2925 of the family's 2925-position model. Lineage: Bacteria; Pseudomonadati; Pseudomonadota; Gammaproteobacteria; Enterobacterales; Enterobacteriaceae. The record is from RNAcentral.